RNAcentral lists this ribosomal RNA (725 nucleotides) under uncultured bacterium. Its description in RNAcentral is "bacterial SSU rRNA". It matches the Rfam family "Bacterial small subunit ribosomal RNA", at positions 61 to 777 of the family's 1533-position model. The record is from RNAcentral.
GUCGAACGGCAGCACGGAGAGCUUGCUCUCUGGUGGCGAGUGGCGAACGGGUGAGUAAUAUAUCGGAACGUGUCCAAUAAUGGGGGAUAACUAGUCGAAAGAUUAGCUAAUACCGCAUACGCCCUGAGGGGGAAAGUGGGGGAUCUUCGGACCUCACGUUAAUGGAGCGGCCGAUAUCUGAUUAGCUAGUUGGUAGGGUAAAAGCCUACCAAGGCGACGAUCAGUAGCUGGUCUGAGAGGAUGAUCAGCCUCACUGGGACUGAGACACGGCCCAGACUCCUACGGGAGGCAGCAGUGGGGAAUUUUGGACAAUGGGCGCAAGCCUGAUCCAGCCAUGCCGCGUGAGUGAAGAAGGCCUUCGGGUUGUAAAGCUCUUUCGCAAGGAAAGAAAACUUACAUGUAAAUAAUGUGUGAGGUUGACGGUACCUUGAUAAGAAGCACCGGCUAACUACGUGCCAGCAGCCGCGGUAAUACGUAGGGUGCAAGCGUUAAUCGGAAUUACUGGGCGUAAAGCGAGCGCAGGCGGUUUUGUAAGUCAGAUGUGAAAGCCCCGGGCUCAACCUGGGAACUGCGUUUGAAACUACAAGGCUAGAGUAUGGGAGAGGGGGGUAGAAUUCCACGUGUAGCAGUGAAAUGCGUAGAGAUGUGGAGGAAUACCAAUGGCGAAGGCAGCCCCCUGGCCUAAUACUGACGCUCAGGCUCGAAAGCGUGGGGAGCAAACAGGA